UGGGGAAUAUUGGACAAUGGGCGGAAGCCUGAUCCAGCCAUGCCGCGUGUGUGAAGAAGGCCUUUUGGUUGUAAAGCACUUUAAGCGAGGAGGAGGCUACUUGGAUUAAUACUCUAGGAUAGUGGACGUUACUCGCAGAAUAAGCACCGGCUAACUCUGUGCCAGCAGCCGCGGUAAUACAGAGGUUGCGAGCGUUAAUCGGAUUUACUGGGCGUAAAGCGUGCGUAGGCGGCUUCUUAAGUCGGAUGUGAAAUCCCUGAGCUUAACUUAGGAAUUGCAUUCGAUACUGGGAAGCUAGAGUAUGGGAGAGGAUGGUAGAAUUCCAGGUGUAGCGGUGAAAUGCGUAGAGAUCUGGAGGAAUACCGAUGGCGAAGGCAGCCAUCUGGCCUAAUACUGACGCUGAGGUACGAAAGCAUGGGGAGCAAACAGG
This 430-nucleotide ribosomal RNA is filed under the name bacterium. RNAcentral's name for it is "partial 16S ribosomal RNA". It matches the Rfam family "Bacterial small subunit ribosomal RNA", at positions 355 to 776 of the family's 1533-position model. The record is from RNAcentral.